Molecule: ribosomal RNA, 283 nt
Filed under: Acinetobacter baumannii
Lineage: Bacteria; Pseudomonadati; Pseudomonadota; Gammaproteobacteria; Moraxellales; Moraxellaceae
Description: partial 16S ribosomal RNA
Rfam family: Bacterial small subunit ribosomal RNA
Source: RNAcentral
GGCCUAACACAUGCAAGUCGAGCGGUAGCACAGAGAGCUUGCUCUCGGGUGACGAGCGGCGGACGGGUGAGUAAUGUCUGGGAAACUGCCUGAUGGAGGGGGAUAACUACUGGAAACGGUAGCUAAUACCGCAUAAUGUCGCAAGACCAAAGUGGGGGACCUUCGGGCCUCAUGCCAUCAGAUGUGCCCAGAUGGGAUUAGCUAGUAGGUGGGGUAACGGCUCACCUAGGCGACGAUCCCUAGCUGUUCUGAGAGGAUGACCAGCCACACUGGAACUGAGACA